GACGGAGGUAGUAACACGUGGGUGAACUGCCCUGCACUUCGGGAUAAGCUUGGGAAACUGGGUCUAAUACCGGAUAGGAACCAUCUUUAGUGUGGUGGUUGGAAAGUUUUUUCGGUGUAGGAUGAGCUCGCUGCCUAUCAGCUUGUUGGUGGGGUAAUGGCCUACCAAGGCGGCGACGGGUAGCCGGCCUGAGAGGGUGUACGGCCACAUUGGGACUGAGAUACGGCCCAG
Molecule: ribosomal RNA, 231 nt
Filed under: uncultured Actinomycetales bacterium
Lineage: Bacteria; Bacillati; Actinomycetota; Actinomycetes; Actinomycetales
Description: partial 16S ribosomal RNA
Rfam family: Bacterial small subunit ribosomal RNA
Source: RNAcentral